UACGAAGGGAGCUAGCGUUGUUCGGAAUCACUGGGCGUAAAGCGCACGUAGGCGGAUGUGUCAGUCAGGGGUGAAAUCCCGGGGCUCAACCUCGGAACUGCCUUUGAUACAGCACGUCUCGAGUCCGGAAGAGGUGGGUGGAAUUCCUAGUGUAGAGGUGAAAUUCGUAGAUAUUAGGAAGAACACCGGUGGCGAAGGCGGCCCACUGGUCCGGUACUGACGCUGAGGUGCGAAAGCGUGGGGAGCAAACAGG
Molecule: ribosomal RNA, 253 nt
Filed under: uncultured bacterium
Lineage: Bacteria
Description: partial 16S ribosomal RNA
Rfam family: Bacterial small subunit ribosomal RNA
Source: RNAcentral